GGGCAGAUUAGCAGUUGGAGGUGAUACAGGCUGAGAGAAGUGGGUAGGACUAGGACACAUCUCCCACACAUCACAGGGGAGGCAGUGUAGUGGGCCUUUAAGAGCCCUGGAGAGUUGUUCCCCAGAGGUUUCCUCCCCUAUGUGGUAAAUGGCCUUUUACAGCUUCACCCCCAUUUGGGUUGUUAGAUACGUUUUUCUGCAGUACAUCAUUUGUCCUAUGUUUAUUACAUCUUACAGAAUUCAAGACCCGGUGAGCAAGAUUUCAUUCCGACAGCAAAACAAAUUAACAAAGUUUAAUGUGCAUAAUGAAUGCAUUAGCAGACAAACGUUU
Anguilla rostrata (American eel) is the source of this 331-nucleotide long non-coding RNA. RefSeq lists it as uncharacterized. NCBI's taxonomy places the organism in Eukaryota, Metazoa, Chordata, Actinopteri, Anguilliformes, Anguillidae. The transcript is spliced from 2 exons. The record is from RefSeq and is a predicted model, not a curated record.